RNAcentral lists this ribosomal RNA (1476 nucleotides) under uncultured Bordetella sp. RNAcentral describes it as "partial 16S-23S ribosomal RNA intergenic spacer". It matches the Rfam family "Bacterial small subunit ribosomal RNA". Lineage: Bacteria; Pseudomonadati; Pseudomonadota; Betaproteobacteria; Burkholderiales; Alcaligenaceae. The record is from RNAcentral.
AGUUCGAUUGUUGCCCAGAUUGAACGCUGGCGGGAUGUUUUACAUGCAAGUCGGACGGCAGCACGGGACUUCGGUCUGGUGGCGAGUGGCGAGCGGGUGAGUAAUGUACUCCGAACGUGCCUAGUAGCGGGGAUAACUACGCGAAAGCUAAUACCGCAUGUUACCCCUUCGGGGAAAGCGGGGACCCUUCGGGCCUCGCACCAUUAGAGCGGCCGACAUCGGAUUAGCUAGUUGGUGUGCAACGGCCAAUUGGCGACGAUCCGUAGCUGGUUUGAGAGGAUCGACCAGCCACACCGGACCGAGACACGGCCCAGACUCCUACGGGAGGCAGGGAAUUCUGGAUAAUGGGGGAAACCCCUGAUCCAGCCAUCCCGCGUGCGAUGAAGGCCUUCGGGUUGUAAAAAGCACUCUUUGGUAAGAAACGGCACGGGGAUAAUACCCUGCGCAACUUAUCGGUACCCGCAGCAGAAUAAGCACCGGGCUACUCGCCAGCCAGCAGCCGCGGUAAUACGUAGGGUGCAGCGUUAAUCGGAAUUACUGGGCGCAAGCGUGCGCAGGCGGUCUGGAAAAAGAUAAAGAAAUCCCAGAGCUUAUCUUUGGAACUGCAUUUCUUUUAACUACCGAGCGAGCGUGUGUCAGAGGGUGGUGGAAUUCCGCGGUAGCAGUGAAACGCGCGAUAUGAGGAACACCGAUGGCGAAGGCAGCCUCCGGGAUAACACUGACGCCUAUGCAUCGAAAGCGUAGUGGGGAGCAACAGGAUUAGAUACCCUGGUAGUCCACGCCCUAAACGAUGUCAACUAGCUGUUGGGGCCUUCGGGCCUCGGUAGCGUGGCCAACGUGUGAAGUUGACCGCCCGGGGAGUACGGUCGCAAGAUUAAACCGUGCUGGAAUUGACGGGACCCGCACAAGCGGUGGAUGAUGUGGAUUAAUUCGAUGCAACGCGAAAAACCUUACCUACCCUUGACAUGUCUGAAUCCCGAAGAGAUUUGGGAGGUUUCUGCAAGAGAACCGGAACACAGGUGCUGCAUGGUUGUCGUCAGCUCGUGUCGUGAGAUGUUGGGUUAAGUCCCGCAACGAGCGCAACCCUUGAACAGCUAUUGCCAUGAAAGGGCACUCUUAAUGAGAUCGCCGGUGACACGAAAUCCGAGGAAGGUGCGGGGAUGACGCCGGGAAAACCUGAAGCGGCCUGGCGGGUAGGGCUUCACACGUCAUACAAUGGUCGGGACAGAGGGUCGCCAACCCGCGAGGGGAGCCAAUCCCAGAAACCCGAUCGGGCCGAUCGCUCCAGUUCGCAAACCGACCGCGUGAAGUCGAAUCGCUAGUAAUCGCGGAUCAGCAUGUCGCGGUGAAUACGUUCCCGGUCUGAAGUACCGCCCGUCACAAACCAGCGCAGCGGUCGUCGGGGCGAAGCAAACAAACCGGCGCGGAGGUGAUUACUACGGUAGGAAUUCAUGACCGGGGUGAAGUAACAAGGUA